GCUUUUGUUCUUUUUAUAUAUUUUGAACACAGAGAUUACAAAUAAAGUGGAAAUGGGUUACACUAAUCUAAAAGACAUAACCAUGUGAAAACAAACAUCAAACAUUUUUAAUACAGGUGCUGCUAAUGAGCAGACGCUCGAUGAGGAUGAAAAUCAGCAGGAAGUGUACUCCUCUCUUCUUCAUGGUGAUCGUUGUGUCUAUGAGGCAGUCAGAAGAUGUGAAAACACUGAAAAUGGUCCAGCAGAAGGUGAUUACACCAAUGUCACAUCUGUGAUUCAGCUCGAAGUCAUUAACAAGACAAGGCAAAGUGGUGACCCAGAGGAGAGCUCUGACUACAAUGAUGUCAAUCCAAAUUCAGCCACAGCUCUAAAAUCUUAACAGCAGCUCUUUAGCUGUUUUUCUCCGUUUUGCUUUUGUUUUCUCUCCCAUUAGAUAAUAAUUUUAAUGGACUUUAAUGUACUGUAGAUCAGUUUUUAAAAAAAAUCUUUUUAACAAUUCUCUUAAAGUCUCUUAAAAAAAAAAGGAAAAGAUUUUGAGUUCAAAGCAAUGAUCCUGAUAGUCUGAGUUUAUAUUUCCUUCAGAAAGAAUCACUCAGUGUGUUUCGCUUGAUUCUCUCUCAUUAGAUAAAAAAAAAUUUAAUAGACUUUAAAUUACUG
Long non-coding RNA from Astatotilapia calliptera (eastern happy), 657 nucleotides. The record is from Ensembl. NCBI's taxonomy places the organism in Eukaryota, Metazoa, Chordata, Actinopteri, Cichliformes, Cichlidae.